GGAGCGGUGUAACAGCUGGGCUGCUUCUCCACUUACAUAGACAGUCCGAUAAGGAACUCCAAAGAAGAAAACUGGGAUGGCCAACUUAAUCUCUGAUGAGCUUCCGUCAUCUACUUUGGGGGUCUUGGUAUCAUUCUGCCAAAAUGGGCAGACACAGAAUCCUGCAGAGAUCAAGGGUUUUGGUCACUCACUUUAGAGCUCACUGGAAAGGAGGUUGUGGCACUGAGCCUCUGCUCAACUCUCUGGCCAAGAGAUAAAAUCAUCUAUGUGCCCAGGGCAAGUGACAAAAUCUCUCAUCUUUAGAAUGAAGAAACAUCCUAUUUGAGUGGUGAUGUG
Vombatus ursinus (common wombat) is the source of this 336-nucleotide long non-coding RNA. RefSeq lists it as uncharacterized. The transcript has 3 exons. The record is from RefSeq and is a predicted model, not a curated record. Lineage: Eukaryota; Metazoa; Chordata; Mammalia; Diprotodontia; Vombatidae.